Procambarus clarkii (red swamp crayfish) is the source of this 170-nucleotide long non-coding RNA. RefSeq lists it as uncharacterized. The record is from RefSeq and is a predicted model, not a curated record. NCBI's taxonomy places the organism in Eukaryota, Metazoa, Arthropoda, Malacostraca, Decapoda, Cambaridae.
AAUGCCCCCCUUUGCUCCUGACAUUAUGUUCAGCCUAUUGACCCCUGCACACCUAACACAAGGUUGAGGUUUCAACUGAAGACUCCAAACAACUUCAAAGGCCAGGAAAACAUCCAGAGUACCAAGGACAACAACCACCUGUAAAAGAAAAAUAAAGUAUAUCAAACAGG